This 59-nucleotide microRNA precursor is filed under the name Octopus vulgaris (common octopus). RNAcentral describes it as "Ovu-Mir-1993_pre stem-loop". The record is from RNAcentral. Lineage: Eukaryota; Metazoa; Mollusca; Cephalopoda; Octopoda; Octopodidae. RNAcentral also lists the same sequence under 1 other name.
UCGGGAAUAGUGGCAUGAUGCUGUAUACUGGAUUUUGUAUUAUGCUGUUAUUCACGAGA